CGCAGGAAAUGCCUAAAUGCUUUAUAUUGUGCUCCCAUGCAGUGGAGCAUUUAUCACCUAAACACUACAAAUUGCUCCUUACGUCCAUCUACUUUCGGCUUUUGGCCGGAUAACAGACCACUAGGGGCGCCAGAACUGCUUCGGCUAUUGAAAUCGAAUUCAUUCAUUCUAUUGUGUAGCUCUAAUCGCUGCUAAUGCUUGUGAAUGAGGUAUUUUUAGCAUGUUUAGAAGUCGCUCAUGUGGAAUAAGCAUUUAAGAUAUGCUAAAGAUUUUGUCUUGCUUUUGCAACUAUAAAGAAAGGGUUUUGAAAAGGAGGUACAUCUCGUCGAGCGAAAGGUCAGUAAUGUUACAUUAUACGAACCGAUUUCAAUUCGAGAAUUUUCUAUUCAAAUGAGCAUUUGUUUGUACAAGUUUUUAAAUGUAUACAUGGUUUGAUCGCUCGAGUAAUUUUGUUUAUAAAAGCAAGUUUAUAAAUAUUAGUAUACCCAGUGUAUAUAUCUAGCCAUUUUUGUAAACGUACACGCUAUGAUUCGCGCAUAUACUCCGAAAAAACAGGAAUGUUAACUCAAAGUGGUAUGUUUUUUACUCAAGCUUUUUGCAAUGUACGAAUUUUUGGUUUAAAUCGUGUUUACAUUCUGGUUAAAUAGAUGUUAAAUCGCUGGUAUAUACGAUCGAAUAGUUGGCUGUCUCCGUUUGUAAAAUUGGAAUGCUUUUGAGCUGCAGUAUUUUAAACGAAACUGACAAAACGUUAUUAAUGUAUUAUAUUUCGUACGAAUUUAAGUGAUACAUUAAACACAAGGUAUCAGCUUGUCUAUACAGUAACAUUUUAUAGUUAUUAUUUGCGUCAUAUUAGCAAUGUGCUGAUGACGACGUUGUACGUGUUAAUUUUGCAACAUUAUAAUUACCGCCAUCCAGGGUAAUAUCAAUAAUAACAUGCUCUUUUGUAGAACGAAAUUGCGAUACAAAAGUACUGAGUGGAUGGUCUAUGUUGAAGUUGCUUUCAUCGGAGCGAAAAUUGAGCUGAAUUAACGUG
Non-coding RNA from Paramuricea clavata, 1033 nucleotides. Lineage: Eukaryota; Metazoa; Cnidaria; Anthozoa; Malacalcyonacea; Plexauridae. The record is from the annotation of a GenBank genome assembly.